RNAcentral lists this ribosomal RNA (1410 nucleotides) under Triticum aestivum (bread wheat). Its description in RNAcentral is "partial small subunit ribosomal RNA". Lineage: Eukaryota; Viridiplantae; Streptophyta; Magnoliopsida; Poales; Poaceae. The record is from RNAcentral.
AUGGAGCCCAAGCCGCCCACGUCCUCGGAGGAGGAGGCGGCGGCGGGGCCGACGACCCCUCGGUUCAGGCUCGGGAAGCAGUCGUCCCUGGCGCCCAGCCGCGGCGGUGAAAACGGCGCCGAGGUGUCGGGGGAGGCCGCCGGCGUCGCCAGCUUCCAGAUGAUGUACCUGGCCCACGAGGGCAACGCGGAGGGGAUACGCGAGCUCCUCGACGCCGGCGCCGACCCCAACUUCCGCGACUCCGACGGCCGCACGGCGCUGCAUAUCUCCGCCUGCGAGGGCCACGCCGAGGUCGUCGCUCUGCUGCUCGACCGCGGCGCGGAGGCCGUCGUCGAGGACCAGUGGGGAAGCACGCCUUUGGCAGAUGCGAUGCAUUACCAGAACCAUGAUGUUAUCAAGAUCUUGGAGAAGCAUGACUCGAACCAUAAGGUUGCUCCUAUGCAUGUUAACAGUGAUCGUGAUGUUCCUGAAUACGAGAUUGAUCCGGACGAACUUGACUUCACAAAUGGCAAAGAUUUAGCUAAGGGUACAUUUCGGAAAGCAACAUGGAGGGGCAUUCUGGUUGCUGUUAAAAAGCUGGAUGAUGAUGUACUUACUGACGAGAACAAAGUACAAGCAUUCAGAGAUGAGCUUGACGUUCUGCAACUAAUACGGCAUCCAAAUGUCGUUCAAUUUCUGGGCGCUGUAACACAAACCAACCCAAUGAUGAUUGUCAUGGAAUUUAUGCCGAAGGGUGAUUUGCGCAAACACUUGAAUAGGAAAGGAGCUCUGGAACCUUUGUAUGCAGUUAAAUUAGCUCUUGAUAUUGCAAGAGGAAUGAGUUACUUACAUGAGCAUAAACCCCAAGCUAUCAUCCACCGUGACCUUGAGCCUUCAAACAUAUUGAGGGAUGACACUGGGCAUCUGAAGGUGGCAGAUUUUGAUUUGUGUAAGAUGCUAAAGUGGAGAAGAAAAGUCAGAGAGGACAAACCAGUUACUUCUCCUGGCAAUGCCUGUAGGUAUGUAGCUCCAGAAGUCCUGCGUAAAGAGGAGUAUGAUAAUAAAGUUGAUGUCUUCUCAUUCGCUUUGAUACUUCAGGAGAUGAUUGAAGGAUGCCUGCCUUUUCACGAUAAGAAAAUUGAUGAAAUUGAGAAGGCCCAUAGUUCUAAAGAAAGGCCACCGUUUAGAGCUCCUGCAAAGCAUUAUGCCUACGGGCUAAGAGAGUUGAUUGAGAAAUGCUGGAGUGAAAAUCCUGCUGAUAGGCCCAAUUUUAGAGUUGUCAUUGAUCGGUUGUCUGCCAUCCAAAUUGAACUAGCUCGCAGAAACCGUUGGAAGGUCAGACCUCUCAAGUGUUUCCUUAGCUUCGAAGGUUUGCGGAAAAAGGAUCGCAAUGAGGGCAGCACCAACCGUUCGUCACGCUCGUCGCGAUAG